AUUACUUUACCGCCAUCUGGCCUGCAGAAAACAGGCUGCCAGAGCCCAGAGAAGGUCCUAAAGUAUCUGGUUGCCUGUGAUCAUCUUUGUGAGCUGGGCUACGAUGAAGCACAAGUGGAGGAGGCUUUGGAGAUGUUUCAGAACUGCGAGAGCAAGGCUGCAGAGUUCCUGCGUUUGCUGACUCAGUUUAAUGAGAUGGGCUUCCAGCAAAGCGCGAUCAAAGAAGUGCUGCUUGUUCAUGAAAACCACCGUGAGCGAGCGCUAGAGGAGCUGAUGACACGCAUGGCGUAGGCGGCUGAUCGUCUGUUUGACUUAGAUCUGGCUUAAAUCAUUAUUUAACUGAAGCUGCUGCAGAAAUUAAAAUGUUUGAUAUCAAAAAUCAGACUUUGUUCAAAUACGUUUCUGAUUUUUUUUUUUAUUUGCAUAUUGAUUUAAAAAAAAGAAACAUUUAAUGUAAAAAAGGACGGAGCUUUAAAUAAACAGCCACAGAAACAUAUACAGAGGGGGGGGCAUGGUGGCAAGGCUGGAAUAAAAUCCUAACAAGAGUAAAAUAACAUUUUAAAAGUUCCCUCUCAUCCUGAACACCGAACAGCCUCCAUCCGACGGACCGACUCCCUCACUGCUGGCUCACAGUGGAGUUCAGAAAUCCCGUCUUCAGGUUCGAUUUCGCAGCUUUGGAGAGAUCCCUCUGCAACCAAACAUCAACUUUAUGAAUGACAGAAAACAAGGACAAUGUUCCAAAUAUAAAGAUUCUGUUUGCUCUGCAAUUACUGCCUGAAUUAUUUUGUUUAAAUGUUUGUUUGGAUUUGACCUGCUGACCUUUGUGCCCAUUCGCCAUUUUCUACCUUUCCAGGAAGGAAAUUAAGCAGUUAGCUAAAAAAGGGUCAAUAUCUGCUUUAAAAACUGAAGAAUGAUUUUCUACAUUCUGUUUAGUCUCUGUUAAGAUUUGUGAAUUUAAUAAAGAAAUGUUCCAACAGGAAA
Cyprinodon tularosa is the source of this 981-nucleotide long non-coding RNA. RefSeq lists it as uncharacterized. The record is from RefSeq and is a predicted model, not a curated record. The transcript has 3 exons. NCBI's taxonomy places the organism in Eukaryota, Metazoa, Chordata, Actinopteri, Cyprinodontiformes, Cyprinodontidae.